Molecule: transfer RNA, 76 nt
Filed under: uncultured Desulfobacterium sp.
Lineage: Bacteria; Pseudomonadati; Thermodesulfobacteriota; Desulfobacteria; Desulfobacterales; Desulfobacteriaceae
Description: tRNA-His
Rfam family: tRNA
About the family: Transfer RNA (tRNA) molecules are approximately 80 nucleotides in length.
Source: RNAcentral
GUGAGUGUAGCUCAGUUGGCAGAGCACUGGGUUGUGGCCCCAGUGGUCGUGGGUUCAAGUCCCAUCACUCACCCCA